This 423-nucleotide ribosomal RNA is filed under the name Acanthamoeba palestinensis. RNAcentral's name for it is "SSU rRNA". It matches the Rfam family "Eukaryotic small subunit ribosomal RNA", at positions 769 to 1099 of the family's 1831-position model. The record is from RNAcentral. Lineage: Eukaryota; Discosea; Longamoebia; Acanthamoebidae.
UGGGGGGUAAAGCAGGCAGAUUCAUUUUCUGCCACCGAAUACAUUAGCAUGGGAUAAUGGAAUAGGACCCUGUCCUCCUUUUUUCAGUUGGUUAAUUCAUGAGAGAGGAACAGGGUAAUGAUUAAUAGGGAUAGUUGGGGGCAUUAAUAUUUAAUUGUCAGAGGUGAAAUUCUUGGAUUUAUGAAAGAUUAACUUCUGCGAAAGCAUCUGCCAAGGAUGUUUUCAUUAAUCAAGAACGAAAGUUAGGGGAUCGAAGACGAUCAGAUACCGUCGUAGUCUUAACCAUAAACGAUGCCGACCAGCGAUUAGGAGACGUUGAAUACAAAACACCUCUAUAUAUAAUUCAGUAUAUGGCUAGCAAUGGCUGUAUAUUGUUUGUGUAUAGUUACGGUGAAUGACUCCCCUAGCAGCUUGUGAGAAAAA